Molecule: ribosomal RNA, 253 nt
Filed under: uncultured bacterium
Lineage: Bacteria
Description: partial 16S ribosomal RNA
Rfam family: Bacterial small subunit ribosomal RNA
Source: RNAcentral
UACGAAGGGGGCUAGCGUUGUUCGGAAUUACUGGGCGUAAAGCGUGCGCAGGCGGCUUCUCAAGUCAGGGGUGAAAGCCCAGAGCUCAACUCUGGAAUUGCCUUUGAGACUGAGUGGCUUGAGUACGGGAGAGGUGAGUGGAAUUCCCAGUGUAGAGGUGAAAUUCGUAGAUAUUAGGAAGAACACCAGUGGCGAAGGCGGCUCACUGGCCCGGUACUGACGCUGAGGCGCGAAAGCGUGGGGAGCAAACAGG